UCAUGAAUGUGGAACCCUCAUGAAUGGAAUUAGUACCCUUAAAAGAAGACACACGAGAGAGCUUGCUUCCUCCCUCUCUGGUCCCUUGCUGUGAGGACAGAGCAAGAAGACGGCCAUCUUCAAACCAGGAAGAGGGUCCUCACCAGAACCUGACCAUGCUGGCACCCUGAUUUCGAACUUACUGGCCUCCAGAAUUCUCCAGGCUAGUAGAAAAUUCAGAUCUACUUAAACAUAAAAUCAAGACAAAAUUGGCCUUCACCUGACUGCUUUCUGUGCCUCUCACAAGAUGGAAAGGUGUCUUACGCACUGGGCCUUGCUGUCCCAUCUGUACCCUCUGUCCUGCUGUUCCAGGGAAGGCGGGAAGGAGAGAGAUAAAGAGAAAAGGAGAAGAAGAAACUGAGCAAAGUGUACCAAGUGAGAAAUGUGAACUUGGCUUACUACAUGGUUUGGGAUCUCUUUUCCUGGGAAUUCUUCCCAGGGAAAGAAAGGAAGCACUGACCAAGGAGGAAGACCAUGGAGGGACCAGGUGGGUCUCAGCUGCUGGGCACACUGUGUGUCCCUAGCCUGGCUCCCAGGCAGGCCUUGGUCUCCAAGGCUCGUGGCCCAUCUCGUCAUGGCAGCUCUUCCACUCCAAGAGUCCAGCUGCUGGUAGAGUGCGGGCUGAAGGCGGUGUGAGGGAGGCUGGCCUGGAGAGCUGGGGACAAUGUUCCCAUAGGCGUAUCAGAGACCAUUCAGUUCAGACCUAGGAAAGACUUCUCCAGCCCCUCAAACUUUCCCCUAAUUGAUCCAGAGGGUAAGAAAAGACAUGGAUAACUGUGCAUUCAUAUCCAAAUCCUCAAAUCUUUUAAACUUGAAGGCACACCCCAUUUGCAAAAGAUCUACCUUAUUUGCCUCCCUGAGGACUGU
Eubalaena glacialis (North Atlantic right whale) is the source of this 906-nucleotide long non-coding RNA. RefSeq lists it as uncharacterized. The transcript is spliced from 3 exons. NCBI's taxonomy places the organism in Eukaryota, Metazoa, Chordata, Mammalia, Artiodactyla, Balaenidae. The record is from RefSeq and is a predicted model, not a curated record.